GCGGGGGCCCGGCGGGGGAAUUCGAUUGUGCCAGCAGCCGCGGUACUCACGGAGGAUCCAAGCGUUAUCCGGAAUCAUUGGGUUUAAAGGGUCCGUAGGCGGGAUAAUAAGUCAGUGGUGAAAGUCUGCAGCUUAACUGUAGAAUUGCCAUUGAUACUGUUGUUCUUGAAUUAUUAUGAAGUGGUUGGAAUGAGUAGUGUAGCGGUGAAAUGCAUAGAUAUUACUCAGAACACCUAUUGCGAAGGCAGAUCACUAAUAAUAUAUUGACGCUGAUGGACGAAAGCGUAGGUAGCGAACAGGAUUAGAUACCCUGGUAGUCCACGCCGUAAACGAUGGAUACUAGCUGUUUGGAUUUCGGUCUGAGCGGCUAAGCGAAAGUGAUAAGUAUCCCACCUGGGGAGUACGUUCGCAAGAAUGAAACUCAAAGGAAUUGACGGGGGCCCGCAC
RNAcentral lists this ribosomal RNA (447 nucleotides) under uncultured Christiangramia sp. Its description in RNAcentral is "bacterial SSU rRNA". It matches the Rfam family "Bacterial small subunit ribosomal RNA", at positions 471 to 926 of the family's 1533-position model. Lineage: Bacteria; Pseudomonadati; Bacteroidota; Flavobacteriia; Flavobacteriales; Flavobacteriaceae. The record is from RNAcentral.